ACGAACGCUGGCGGCGUGCUUAACACAUGCAAGUCGCACGGGACUGGGGGCAACUCCAGUUCAGUGGCGGACGGGUGCGUAACACGUAAGCAACAUGUCCAAGGGUGGGGGAUAGCCGGCCCAACGGCCGGGUAAUACCGCAUGCAGUCACCGGCGGCAUCACUGGUGACGAAAGCCGGGGCAACCUGGCGCCCGUGGAGUGGCUUGCGGCCUAUCAGCUAGUUGGUGAGGCACGGCUCACCAAGGCGACGACGGGUAGCUGGUCUGAGAGGAUGACCAGCCACAUUGGGACU
RNAcentral lists this ribosomal RNA (293 nucleotides) under uncultured bacterium. Its description in RNAcentral is "partial 16S ribosomal RNA". It matches the Rfam family "Bacterial small subunit ribosomal RNA", at positions 29 to 320 of the family's 1533-position model. The record is from RNAcentral.